RNAcentral lists this unclassified non-coding RNA (150 nucleotides) under soil metagenome. RNAcentral describes it as "partial internal transcribed spacer 1". The record is from RNAcentral.
CCGAGUUUACAACUCCCAAACCCCUGUGAACAUACCUAUACUGUUGCCUCGGCGGAUCAGCCCGCGCCCCGUAAAAAGGGACGGCCCGCCCGCAGGAACCCUAAACUCUGUUUUUAGUGGAACUUCUGAGUAUAAACAACAAAUAAAUCA